This 617-nucleotide long non-coding RNA is filed under the name Gallus gallus (chicken). The record is from RNAcentral. Lineage: Eukaryota; Metazoa; Chordata; Aves; Galliformes; Phasianidae.
GUUUAUCCUGUUGCGACUUAUCGUCCGCCUAUAAUAACUGAAGUCAUUCUGAAUUGCUGGGUUUCUCAUCUUAAGUUCAUCAAAACGAAGAGUAAAAUGUAAGAUUUCUGCAAACUCUUUAGCCAGAGCCUGUUCCCGUUCCAGGUGUUGAGUUGGAGUAUAGGGUGGGCAUGUCAAAGAUUCCAGUAAGCUCUGCAGGGCCUUUUCUAAUCUCAGUGAAAACUCAUAAAAGCGCUUCAGCCUCACGACCAGAGGACACACUGAAUUCCAUGCUUUUUCUUGCAACUGGAUAUCAUUGGGGUUUUGUAUUGCAUCUCUAAUUUCUUGUCCAGCUCCUUUGUAAGCCUGAAGAUCUGCAAGCAUACUUUCUGAGUCCUGUAAAACUGCACUGAUCUGAUUCCAUACUUCUCUUUCUCCAUCUGUGGGCUGGGCAUCUGGAAAUAAAGUAGUUCCAAUUCACAUUCGAAAAUCCAAAGUGUUGAUGCAAAACAUUCAACGUCUGUCUUGUUGAAGAUGUUCCAGAGCCUUCCUGAUACUUAGAGAGAGGUGGCAAUCUGAGCAGCCCGUCGCCUGUGCCCGCCGCGGUGACCCUCGUCCAUCCCCCGCGCCUCAGAGAC